CCUACGGGUGGCAGCAGUGGGGAAUAUUGCGCAAUGGGCGCAACCCUGACCCAGCAACGCCGCGUGAAUGAAGAAGGCCUUCGGGUUGUAAACUUCUUUUGUCAGGGACGAAGCAAGUGACGGUACCUGACUAAUAAGCCACGGCUAACUACGUGCCAGCCGCCGCGGUAAUACGUAGGUGGCGAGCGUUAUCCGGAAUUACUGGGUGUAAAGGGCGUGUAGGCGGGACUGCAAGUAAGAUGUGAAAACCACGGGCUCAACCUGGGAACUGCAUUUGAAACUGUAGUGCUUGAGUACUGGAGAGGCAGACGGAAUUCCUAGUGUAGCGGUGAAAUGCGUAGAUAUGAGGAGGAACACCAGUGGCGAAGGCGGUCUGCUGGAAAGCAACUGACGCUGAGGUGCGAAAGCGUGGGGAGCAAACAGGAUUAGAUACCCUUGUAGUC
This 443-nucleotide ribosomal RNA is filed under the name uncultured bacterium. RNAcentral's name for it is "partial 16S ribosomal RNA". It matches the Rfam family "Bacterial small subunit ribosomal RNA", at positions 338 to 795 of the family's 1533-position model. The record is from RNAcentral.